Molecule: long non-coding RNA, 2149 nt
Filed under: Strongylocentrotus purpuratus (purple sea urchin)
Lineage: Eukaryota; Metazoa; Echinodermata; Echinoidea; Camarodonta; Strongylocentrotidae
Description: uncharacterized LOC115928127
Source: RNAcentral
ACAAAAAUUGCGAUAUUUCGUCUUUUAAAAUGAAAAAAUAAAUAAAUUCAAAGAAGAUUUGGACAAAUUACUGGCCCUCCUUAGAACUCAACUCUUCCUUUAAGGGAGCAUAAUUAUUUCGUAGGCCUGUGAACAUUUUAAGGGAGCAUAAAUAUAUCGUAUAGGCCUGUGAACAUUUAAUCAAGAAUUAAGAAUGUUUUAAUUUUAUCUUUAAAUGAAAUGACUAUCGAUUUUGAAUAUUUCAAGUAAAAAAGUAUGUAAUUAGCAAAAGAAUUAGCUUACUACUAUAGUGUUAUAGUGACUAGAACUUAUCCAAUUGGAUGUAAUUGUAACAAUUUUCCCCAUAAUAAAUACAAAGGUGAAAGGGUACUCUUCAAAAAUGUUGAAUCAUAAUGAAACACAACUAAAUGUGUGCUGCCAUCUAGUGGUAGAAAGCGAAUAGGCCAACCGGUAGUUUAUUUUCAAAUUCAAAUCUGCACUCAGACUCUGUGAUGAUCAGCUCAACGGCGCAUAUUUCAAUCAUUACUUUGCCAUUUCGCCAGACUUGUCUUCCUGUAAAACCCACAGUAUGGGUAAUAAGGGGUAGAUUUACACCAGGAAAGGACAAUUUCAAGAGUAAUUCCAGGGCAAGACUUGAAAGAACAAAAUGAAGGAUCGAAUUUAUUACCAAGAUUAGGCCUACAGUCCCACACUAGCACUCUUGUGUUGGAGAAAUACGAUCAACUUGCUUUGCACUACAUGCACUGGACUGCUACUGCUAGCUGCUGGAGCUACUUUAAAGAUCUUCAUUUUGAAGGGUAUCUUAGCUUCGGCUGCUGGAAAGUCAUCAACUUGGACUGUGUGGCACUGGCACCCUUGUCUUCUAGAGUACAUGUACAUACAGUCUUAAUUUGUUAGACUGAACUGUCCAACACACAUCUAGGAAAUGCAAGACAUGGGUGAAAGUAUUAGAAUCAUACAUGGUUAAUGACUUAUUGUUCAUCUGUAAUUAAUGGAAAGCAUUUCAAAAUGAUGCCAAUAAUGCCGUCCAACAAACAUUCAGCAAGUACUUCCAGGUUGCCUCGCCCUGUCACAAUCAAACAUGUGUUCGCGGUCGGAAUGAAUCUGAGACAUAAAUCUUCAAUACACAGCUUAAUUUUUACCAAGGCAAUCUUAACAAACACAAAUUGAAUUACCUCACGGCGUAAUUACAUAUAUACAUGUAUUGAUGUAUAUAUAUAUAUAUAUAUUCUAUAUCUGCGUAUGAAUAUUUUUGUAUAACUUUGUUUCACUAUACUCUUUGCCAUGUCAGCUCACGUGUACUAUGUAGUUGAUGCCAGUAUUAUGUAACACUUUAUAGAUGUGUAUUCAUGUAACAGUAAUAAAGCUUUGUCUUAGUAUUCAUUUAACGUUUUAAAGACAUCUGAAGACUAUUCAUGUUUGACAUCCUUAUGACACUUGACAGAUAGACCAAGUUGCCAGUGCUAUUAACACUUUUUACAUUGUUAUAGAUGUGAACUAUACCUUUGCCUUCACAUGUUUUCAUUUAUAGACAUUUUUAAAGAUUUUGUUUAGACUGUUGAAACUUGCCAGAUAGCCUUGCUACUUGUAUCAUGUAACACUUUAUAGUCAUGUAUAAGCUGUUCAAUACUGGUUCACAUCCUGUAUAUAUGCUAGUAUUUUAUUAGCCAAAAAUGUGAAAAUUCAUUUUUUUUUUUAAAUUCUAAUAUCUUACAUUCAGAUUAGAUUUACAUUAUAAUAGUUUCGUUUACACAACUAAUACAUAUAUAUAUAUGUGAACCCAAUAUCUGCAAUUUUUACCAGUGAUUAUAUAGGGAACAAUUUAAUGAAGAAGAAAAAGAUAUAUUUUUUUUCUUUCUUGCGUUUAUGUUUACAAAGACCUAGUACUACCUUUGCGUAAUAUUUGUAUCAUUUAUAAGACGGGUAUAUGCCAAUCGGUUUGCCAAAGAUACAUAAUAUUUACCGGCCGUUCUUACCUCUAAAUCCAAAAUUUUCUAUAUGAAAUGCUGCUCAAGUUUUGUAAGUGUGACUUUUGUAAAUAUGUUUUAAUAGUUUGUGGACUGUUUGUUUAGUAUUCUCAUUCACCAUAUGGGUGUACAUUGCAUGUGAUAUUUUAUGUAAUAAAGUGUUCUAACGUUUCAAACUGAAA